Molecule: ribosomal RNA, 253 nt
Filed under: uncultured bacterium
Lineage: Bacteria
Description: partial 16S ribosomal RNA
Rfam family: Bacterial small subunit ribosomal RNA
Source: RNAcentral
UACAGAGGGUGCGAGCGUUGUCCGGAAUCACUGGGCGUAAAGGGCGCGUAGGCGGCUUGACAAGCGUGCGGUGAAAGCUCGGGGCUCAACCCCGAGUCGGCCGUGCGAACUGUCAGGCUUGAGCACAGUAGAGGCAGAUGGAGUUCCGGGUGUAGCGGUGGAAUGCGUAGAGAUCCGGAAGAACACCGGUGGCGAAGGCGGUCUGCUGGGCUGUGGCUGACGCUGAUGCGCGACAGCGUGGGGAGCAAACAGG